AUGGAUUAUGACCCCCAGAGAGCAGGUGCACGUCCACGGAGGGCUGUGCGACCACCAGGAUCGAUGACUCAGUAUGGCUACACACUGCCACCCACUGCUACAUUGGAGCAGCAGCAGACUAGAGAGGGAUACGCCAAGAUGACGCCCCUCACCCAGACUCCUGGUUCUAUUGGAGCUGCAGGACGGACACCAGUGGCAUCCAGCAUUCCACCGGAGUUCAUGAACAUUGUGCAGCAACUGCAGGAGGACAACAGGCAACUUCAGCUGAUGGUAGGAGACAUGAGGAGACAGAUGGAUCGCAAUGUCACCACGUUGGAAUCCACCCGCUUAUGUUCUGCCCAGCAGCCAGGGGGCUACAUUUCAGCUGAUGACACUUGGGUCUCCACACCUCUAACCCCACAGCCUUUCCCCCUGAGACCAGAGCAGCACAAUAUAUCCUCCACACAGGAUGCAGCUGAAGAAUGGCCAGUACCACCACCUCCAGUUUUUCUCCCGAGAGAUCAUCCUGAUCUACCAGAGGUACAGUCUGUUCCACCUCCACCGCUACCAGCCAUUGCACAAGAGCUUAGCCAACGGUUACAAGAGCUACAGUUGCAACAACCCUCAGCCACUGAAGCUCCUGACUUCCAGCCUCGUGCACCACAGUCCACCCCCUUAUCUCGAUCACUAGCUGGACCUAGUUUCGACUCGAACAUGCUCCCCCCAGAACAAGUGUUGGCUCCAACUACAGCCAUAGCUGGAAAGGAGAAGAGCUACAGAGGGCCAUCGCCCUCCAUCCCAGAGUUCACAAAGGGUGAUCCCAGGCAGUUUGCUAGAUUAAGGCUUGCCCUAGACAAUCUCCCCUUUGAUGCAACCGAGAGGUUCAAAUAUCAGGUCCUAUGUGACCACCUUAAAUUUGAGGAAGCUCUUUUAAUUGCUGACUCCUACAGUAACUCACCCCGCCCCUACUCUGACACGAUGGCCUCGCUCACUAAACAUUAUGGUCAGCCGCACCAACUGUCGCUGCAGAGAAUAGCAGAGCUUAUGGAUGAGCCCAGCAUCCGCCCGGGUGACACGACUGGAUUCAGAAGGUUUGCACUGAGAGUCCGUGCUCUGGUCGGCAUGUUAGAGCAACUUGGGGAAGAUGGACACAUAGAACUGCAAUGCGGGUCCCAUGUUGCUAGACUGACACGAAAGCUACCCCAAGACCUACGUGCUGCUUUCCGCCGCUACCUUUACCCACAGAAAGAUGGAAUACCAUCAUUGAGAGACUUUGCAGAGUGGCUGGAGUAUGAGCUGGUCAUUCAAGAGGGUGGAGAUCACACAGAGAAGGUAGAGGAGAGCUCGAGAGACAGGAGCAGCAUGAAAAGAGAUAAAAGAGCCACCAAAAGGACUACCACCGUGCUGCAUGGUGCAACACACAACACUGCCCCUCAAAGGCCCUCAGCCACAACCCCUUCCACUUCUGAGGUCCAAGACAAGCCCACAGCUUAUUGUCCAUAUUGUAAUAACACUCUGCACUUCUUAGAUCAAUGUGUCAACUUCAAGAUGCUGACUAAGGAGCAGAAAUCAACUUGGAUUAAGUCCAACAAUCGCUGCUGGCGUUGUGGGCGGCACCACCAGGCCGCUCAGUGUCGACUUAAAGUGCAGUGCAAGACAUGCAGGGGAAAACACCUUGAGGCCCUGCAUGAAGUGAACCUCAGACCUGCUGCACCCAAUCCACCAAUGGAACACGUCGCUGAGCUGGGGAGUAAAGCAUCUACUGAGGUACUUUAUCUAGACCGGCGUGCUGGCUGUAGCCAAGUGCUUCUGAAGAUAACCAAAGUGCUGCUGCAGAACGGUGAGCACACCUUGGAGACAUUCGCCAUAUUGGAUGAUGGAUCUGAGAGGACGAUCCUUCUCCCUGAGGCCACUCAAAGACUGCAGCUACAGGGCACGGCAGAGAGUCUUACUCUACGUACGGUGAGACAAGGAUUGAGAACCUUGCAUGGCGCAUCAGUGACAGUCAAAGUCUCCCCUGCCAGCCAACCAUCCAGAACAUUCACCAUUGAGAGAGCCUUCACAGCCGAUGAUCUAGGCUUGGCUGAGCAUUCAUACCCUGUGAAAGCACUUCAACAGAAAUAUAGACACUUAAGAAGGCUUCCCUUGCAGCCCUUCACAAAUGCCCAGCCACUCCUUCUGAUCGGUUCUGACUGUCCUCACCUAGUGACGCCCAUCAAACCUGUGCGCCUAGGCUCACCUGGAGGACCAGCUGCAGUCAAGACUAGACUCGGUUGGGUACUACAGGGACCAAUCCCCUCCCUUAAGCACUCCGCUCAACCGCAACAGUGCCUCUUCCUCUCAACGACCUCUCCUCAAUCAGAGCUUCAUAGUCAAGUAGAGAGGCUUUGGCAACUUGACACUCUCCCAUAUCGAAGUGAGAAACUAGUGACACGGUCUCGGAGGGAAGAGCAAGCUUUGAGGCUUUUGGAGGCAAAGACGAUAAGACUGAAAGUCGAGGGAGUAAACAGAUAUUCAACUCCUCUUCUGCGUGUCAGUGAUAUGCCUGCACUCCGGGUGCCACCUGAAGCAGUACUCCCCAAUCUACGUGGCAUGGAGAAGCGCCUCAGUCGAGACCCGGAGAAGGCUAAAGCUUAUCAAGCGGAGAUGACAAAGUUGAUAGCAGCAGGCUAUGUCAGGGAAAUCAGUGAAGAGGAAAUGAGGGCCACCAAAGAAUCAUGGUUCAUCCCCCACCACAUGGUGACACACAACGGAAAGAACCGUGUGGUGUUUAAUUGCUCAUUCACCUAUAGGGAUCAGAACCUCAACGAGCUGCUGUUACCAGGCCCGAACCUGGGGGCCUCUCUUCUUGGUGUGCUGCUACGCUUCAGAGAACGCUCCAUCGCGGUUAGCAGUGACAUCAAGGGGAUGUUCCACCAAGUGAGACUACUGCCUGAGGACCGGCCGCUACUACGUUUCAUUUGGCGCGAUCUGCAAAGAGACACCCAUCCCAAGGUGUAUGAAUGGCAGGUGCUCCCCUUCGGGACAACAUGCUCACCAUGCUGUGCAAUUUAUGCACUCCAGCGACACGUCCAUGACCACAGUGACCAGGGAGAUGACGUGCGUGACUCCAUUGAGAAGCAUUUUUAUGUUGACAACUGGUUACAGAGCUUCUCUUCUCCAGAUGUGGCCACAGAGGUUGUGGACAAACUACGGUCACUAUUAUCGGAGGGAGGAUUUGAGCUCAGACAGUGGGCCAGCAGCACCCCAGAUCUCAUCAGCCAUCUACCACAGGAGAUAAGAUCGGAGAGCAGCGUACAGUGGCUGAAUCGAACCGACAUGGACCCUCAAGAACCUGCUCUAGGUCUGCGCUGGAUGUGCUGCUCUGACACUCUGCACUACAAGUCCAGGCAGUUGGAGAGUAAUCCUCCUACCAUGAGGAACAUCUACCGGGUUCUGGCGAGUCAGUAUGACCCACUAGGGUUUCUCGUCCCCUUCACAACGAGAACAAAGGUACUAGUCCAGCAGUUGUGGGACAAAAAGCGUGAGUGGGAUGACCCCCUGUUACCAAGUGACCUGCUCUCUGCAUGGAACGAAUGGGAAGGUGAGCUGCAGCAUCUGGACAACAUUAGUCUACAACGUUGUUAUGUAAGCCCGGAGCUGGACAAAUCCGACAGUAGGCGUGAGUUGCACAUCUUCUGCGAUGCAUCUCAACAGGCAUAUGGAAGUGUUGCCUACCUACGGACGGAAGAUGCUGCUGGAAAGGUGGAAGUUGCUUUCCUGACUGCCCGCUCUAGGGUGGCCCCUAAACGGCAGAUGUCCAUGCCACGUCUGGAACUAUGUGCAGCCUUGACUGGAGCUCAACUCGCUAGCCUGCUGACCAAAGAGCUCACCCUACCACUAUGCAGAGUGGUGUUAUGGACAGACUCCACCACUGUCCUAACAUGGAUCCAGUCCGAGUCCUGUCAUUUCAAGGUGUUCGUGGGAACUCGAAUAGCUGAGAUCCAGGAACUGACAGACAGCCAGUCUUGGCGUUAUGUGACAACAUAUGACAAUCCGGCAGAUGAUCUAACUAGGGGUAAGAAGCUACAAGACCUCACAGUCCAGUCCCGGUGGGCAUGUGGGCCCCCGUUUCUGCAGCUACAUCGAGACCAGUGGCCAGAGCACCCAGCCACACCAUGUACAGACUUUGGUGAGGAGCAGCGUAAACCAAUAACUUGCCUAGCUGUGUCUACUGACUCUAUCUCCCUGCCUGAUGCACAGCAGUUUACCAGUUUUAGCAAGCUAUUGGAAGAAACAGCCAGGUGCCUUCACGGGGCGGCUGGUGACAACCUCACAUCAGAGAACUACAAGGAGGCUGAGCUUAUUCUGCUGAGAGCUGCUCAGAAAAACAGUUUCCCAGAUGAGAUCCAGUGCCUGACCACUGGGAAACCAGUUCACUCAUCUAGCCGUCUGUUUGCCUGGCCCCAGAAUUCGAUGAAUCGCUUCAACUCAUAA
RNAcentral lists this long non-coding RNA (4455 nucleotides) under Oreochromis niloticus (Nile tilapia). Its description in RNAcentral is "lncRNA (ENSONIG00000042342.1)". Lineage: Eukaryota; Metazoa; Chordata; Actinopteri; Cichliformes; Cichlidae. The record is from RNAcentral.